GAGAGCCUACGGGGGGCAGCAGUGAGGAAUAUUGGUCAAUGGGCGGGAGCCUGAACCAGCCAAGUCGCGUGAGGGAAGACGGUCCUAUGGAUUGUAAACCUCUUUAGGCGGGGAGCAAUGCCGGGCACGCGUGCCCGGAGGGAGAGUACCCGCAGAAUAAGCAUCGGCUAACUCCGUGCCAGCAGCCGCGGGAAUACGGAGGAUGCGAGCGUUAUCCGGAAUUAUUGGGUUUAAAGGGUGCGUAGGCGGAUUUUUAAGGAAGCGGUAAAAUGUCCGGGCUCAACCCGGGCCGGACGUUGAAAGUG
RNAcentral lists this ribosomal RNA (305 nucleotides) under uncultured bacterium. Its description in RNAcentral is "bacterial SSU rRNA". It matches the Rfam family "Bacterial small subunit ribosomal RNA", at positions 333 to 635 of the family's 1533-position model. The record is from RNAcentral.